AUGGGAAACCAGCUCUGCUGCCGGGGAUGCUGGAACUGCCCAUCAAUUGCCCAGAGGAAAAAGAAAACAGGAAGCCAAGCAAGACAGACACUGAAGCAGCAGCAGCAGCAGCAGCAGCAGCAGCAGCAGCACAGGCACAAGCACAGUGCAAAGGUGAUGACCGGCCUCUGUCCCUUCCAGGGGGCUGUUCUGACAUGGGAUCUGAGGACUCAGCAUUUUCACCCUGUGACACAUCUCCAUUAUCUGGAACCAGAAAUUGCUGGUUCUGUCCCACAGAGGAGCAAGGCGAGGGGACAUCAGAAUCACUGACCUUGCUUUGUAGGUGAGGGGCAAAAGCAAGCCAAGAAUCUCCCUUCAUGCUGUCCAUUUCUUGCAGGUCCAUAACACAAGAGGACAUACGUAUGAGCAGGUGUUAGAGAAGCCCGGAUCUCAGGAGAAGAGUCCAGGCCUCAGGUCCAAGGAGAGCAGCUUACAUUAUGCAGACAUUCAAGUGUGCAGCUAUACCCAGCCUCGCUCUGCUCGGCAGGUGAAACACCUCCAGUCAGAAAAUGCAACGGAGUACGCAAUCCUCCGCUUCCCACAGGCCACACCCCGCUAUGACAGCAAGAAUGGGACCCUGGUGUGAGCUCUGGGGAGGACGCACCUGUUUCCAUCAUUUUACCACUACUCCCUUGGGGGAGAAUCUGCCUUGGGGAAUUGGUUGGCAGCCCAGAGAUGCCUGCCACGUUUUAAAGAACUCCAGAGUCCCAUGAAUGCCACCAGUCUUGCCCCCUCCCCUAGGCCUAUCUUUUAUUUGCCACCGUUAGCUUGGAGUUGUAUUUGGGUUAGCUAGGUGUGGAUGGAGCUCCACAAAAUGAGGGGGCUAGGAUGAGCCUGAAGGAAGUGUUUUGACCUCUACCUUUGCUCCUGCUUUCAAGAAAAGUGCUGACAGGCCAGGUUACCCCAGCACUUGAGCUGAUUUUGUUGGGCUUAAUUUAACGGUGUCUCUUUUACACACCUUACACUCCACAGUUUAAGAAGAAGAGGAGCUCUGGAAAAGCAUUCUCAGUUCUUGUACACAGCCCCCCAGAGCUGGCUUGGGCAAUUCCUUCGGUGGUGGGGUCAAAGGUCCCAGAACCUAAACAGACAAACGAGGGCAGGGACUGAGGCAUGGAGGAAGCGAUCUCUGACCAUCGGUGACAAGGACUUCAAGUCAUUUGACAGAAGUGCGUGACCUGGAAACUCCCCUUGGCUUGCAGGUGCAGAGCCGCUAGGAUCAAUAAAUCACAAAAGGAAUAUCCCUGGUGGCGUUUU
This 1293-nucleotide long non-coding RNA is filed under the name Canis lupus dingo (dingo). RNAcentral's name for it is "lncRNA (ENSCAFG00020006294.1)". Lineage: Eukaryota; Metazoa; Chordata; Mammalia; Carnivora; Canidae. The record is from RNAcentral.